This 528-nucleotide ribosomal RNA is filed under the name Triticum aestivum (bread wheat). Its description in RNAcentral is "partial small subunit ribosomal RNA". Lineage: Eukaryota; Viridiplantae; Streptophyta; Magnoliopsida; Poales; Poaceae. The record is from RNAcentral.
AUGGACGCCGCCGAGCUCCUCCUCCACAAGAUUCGCUACCAGGGCGACCAUGCCGACAACACCGUGGUGCUGGUGGUGCCCUACGCCUGCUGCGGCACACUCAUCGGCAAAGGAGGCACGCUCAUCAAGUCGUUAGCUGAAGCGACAAAGGCUGGAAUCACGGUCUCGCACCACCGAGUCUGCUACAGUUUCAAUGACAGACUGGUUAAGAUCACUGCUUUGAUUCCUUGCGGCGUCGCGCCUCCCGCCUUUGGUGUUGUUCUGGGUCUGCCCGUGCCAGAUUCGUGGCCUCGCAUGUUUAAUGGGGUGCCUUACUGUAGUCUAGAUAAUCAGCACAUGAAUGGACUGUUAAUUAAUCCGUUAAUGUACACAAGGAGUUUGUUUAAUCUAGAAAUUGUACAAAUCUGCAUCAUGCAAACUUACUUCAGGUUGUUACAUAAGGAAGGAGCUCGGGGUUCAGUUCCAAGCAAUAGGGGUUGGGUUGAUUCCUCUAGAAAUAGUCAGAUGAAUCAUUGCUGUAAUUUGUAA